RNAcentral lists this ribosomal RNA (809 nucleotides) under uncultured organism. RNAcentral's name for it is "bacterial SSU rRNA". It matches the Rfam family "Bacterial small subunit ribosomal RNA", at positions 27 to 878 of the family's 1533-position model. The record is from RNAcentral.
GGAUGAACGCUGGCGGUCUGCUUAACACAUGCAAGUCGAACGCAACCUUCGGGUUGAGUGGCGGACGGGUGAGUAACGCGUGAGAAUCUGCCUUGGGGUCGGGGACAACCACUGGAAACGGUGGCUAAUACCGGAUAAGCCUUUGGGUAAAAAAUUUAUUGCCCCAAGAGGAGCUCGCGUCUGAUUAGCUAGUUGGUGAGGUAAGAGCUCACCAAGGCAGCGAUCAGUAGCUGGUCUGAGAGGACGAUCAGCCACACUGGGACUGAGACACGGCCCAGACUCCUACGGGAGGCAGCAGUGGGGAAUUUUCCGCAAUGGGCGAAAGCCUGACGGAGCAAAACCGCGUGAGGGAGGAAGGCUCUUGGGUUGUAAACCUCUUUUCUCAGGGAAGAAGCUCUGACGGUACCUGAGGAAUCAGCCUCGGCUAACUCCGUGCCAGCAGCCGCGGUAAUACGGAGGAGGCAAGCGUUAUCCGGAAUUAUUGGGCGUAAAGCGUCCGCAGGUGGCGAUUCAAGUCUGCUGUCAAAGCACGGGGCUUAACUCCGUUAAGGCAGUGGAAACUGAAUAGCUAGAGUGCCGUAGGGGUAGAGGGAAUUCCCGGUGUAGCGGUGAAAUGCGUAGAGAUCGGGAAGAACAUCGGUGGCGAAAGCGCUCUACUGGACGGCAACUGACACUCAGGGACGAAAGCUAGGGGAGCGAAAUGGGAUUAGAUACCCCAGUAGUCCCUAGCUGUAAACGAUGGAUACUAGGUGUAGCUUGUAUCGACCCGAGCUGUGCCGAAGCUAACGCGUUAAGUAUCCCGCCUGGGG